RNAcentral lists this ribosomal RNA (500 nucleotides) under uncultured Glomeromycotina. RNAcentral's name for it is "partial small subunit ribosomal RNA". It matches the Rfam family "Eukaryotic small subunit ribosomal RNA", at positions 591 to 1092 of the family's 1831-position model. The record is from RNAcentral. Lineage: Eukaryota; Fungi; Glomeromycota.
CCAAUAGCGUAUAUUAAAGUUGUUGCAGUUAAAAAGCUCGUAGUUGAAUUUCGGGGUCAGUAGGUCGGUCGUGCCACUGGUAUGAACUGGUUUUACUGAUUCCUCCCUCUUGAAGAACUGUAAUGCCAUUAAUUUGGUGUUGCAGGGAAUCAGGACUGUUACUUUGAAAAAAUUAGAGUGUUUAAAGCAGGCUUUAGCUUGAAUACAUUAGCAUGGAAUAAUGAAAUAGGACGUUUGAUCCUAUUUUGUUGGUUUCUAGGAUUGACGUAAUGAUUAAUAGGGAUAGUUGGGGGCAUUAGUAUUCAAUUGUCAGAGGUGAAAUUCUUGGAUUUAUUGAAGACUAACUACUGCGAAAGCAUUUGCCAAGGAUGUUUUCAUUAAUCAAGAACGAAAGUUAGGGGAUCGAAGACGAUCAGAUACCGUCGUAGUCUUAACCAUAAACUAUGCCGACUAGGGAUCGGAUGAUGUUAAUUUUUUAAUGACUCAUUCGGCGCCUUAUG